GCCUGUCUGGCUUAGUCAGUGGAGCAUGUGACUCUUGAUCUUGAGUUUGUGGGUUCGAACCCCACACUGGGUA
This 73-nucleotide transfer RNA is filed under the name Mustela putorius furo (domestic ferret). It matches the Rfam family "tRNA". From Rfam's summary of the family: Transfer RNA (tRNA) molecules are approximately 80 nucleotides in length. The record is from Rfam by way of RNAcentral. Lineage: Eukaryota; Metazoa; Chordata; Mammalia; Carnivora; Mustelidae.